GACGAACGCUGGCGGCGUGCUUAACACAUGCAAGUCGAACGGAAAGGCUCCAGCUUGCUGGAGUACUCGAGUGGCGAACGGGUGAGUAACACGUGGGUAAUCUGCCCUGCACUCUGGGAUAAGCCUGGGAAACUGGGUCUAAUACUGGAUAUGACCUUUCUCCUUAUGGGGUUUGGUGGAAAGUUUUUCGGUGUAGGAUGAGCCCGCGGCCUAUCAGCUUGUUGGUGGGGUGAUGGCCUACCAAGGCGACGACGGGUAGCCGGCCUGAGAGGGUGAUCGGCCACAUGGGGACUGAUAACGGCCCCAGCCCCCGCGGGGGGCAGCGGGGGGGGAAUUUUGAACAGGGGGCGGAAGCUGGAUCCCGCGACCCCGGGUGGGGAAGGACGGCUUUCGGUUUAUAAACCUUUUCCACCGGGAACAAAGCGUAGGGGCGGGUCCCGAAAAAAAAGCACCCGACAACUUUUGGC
RNAcentral lists this ribosomal RNA (467 nucleotides) under uncultured bacterium. RNAcentral's name for it is "partial 16S ribosomal RNA". It matches the Rfam family "Bacterial small subunit ribosomal RNA", at positions 28 to 508 of the family's 1533-position model. The record is from RNAcentral.